GGCCCCGUAGCUCAGCUGGAUAGAGCAGCUGCCUUCUAAGCAGCAGGUCGCAGGUUCGAGCCCUGCCGGGGUCG
This 74-nucleotide transfer RNA is filed under the name Aquabacter spiritensis. It matches the Rfam family "tRNA". From Rfam's summary of the family: Transfer RNA (tRNA) molecules are approximately 80 nucleotides in length. Their secondary structure includes four short double-helical elements and three loops (D, anti-codon, and T loops). The record is from Rfam by way of RNAcentral. Lineage: Bacteria; Pseudomonadati; Pseudomonadota; Alphaproteobacteria; Hyphomicrobiales; Xanthobacteraceae.